GCGCCCGUAGCUCAGUUGGAAGAGCACCGGCCUUCUAAGCCGAUGGUCGCAGGUUCGAGCCCUGCCGGGCGUGCCA
This 76-nucleotide transfer RNA is filed under the name bacterium. RNAcentral's name for it is "tRNA-Arg". It matches the Rfam family "tRNA". From Rfam's summary of the family: Transfer RNA (tRNA) molecules are approximately 80 nucleotides in length. Their secondary structure includes four short double-helical elements and three loops (D, anti-codon, and T loops). Further hydrogen bonds mediate the characteristic L-shaped molecular structure. tRNAs have two regions of fundamental functional importance: the anti-codon, which is responsible for specific mRNA codon recognition, and the 3' end, to which the tRNAs corresponding amino acid is attached (by aminoacyl-tRNA synthetases). tRNAs cope with the degeneracy of the genetic code in two manners: having more than one tRNA (with a specific anti-codon) for a particular amino acid; and 'wobble' base-pairing, i.e. permitting non-standard base-pairing at the 3rd anti-codon position. RNAcentral also lists the same sequence under 1 other name. The record is from RNAcentral.